Long non-coding RNA from Dreissena polymorpha, 1117 nucleotides. RefSeq lists it as uncharacterized. The record is from RefSeq and is a predicted model, not a curated record. NCBI's taxonomy places the organism in Eukaryota, Metazoa, Mollusca, Bivalvia, Myida, Dreissenidae. The transcript is spliced from 3 exons.
UAUACAAUAGGAAAUACAAACUUAAUUAUUAACACAACAGUUUUUCAGAAUAUAACAUUUUUUCCACCAACAAUUUUUAAUUUUAUUUUAAAUAACUGGUCAAGAGAAACACAAAUAUAUAUCCUAAUUACCCCCUUAUCACUACAAAUGACAUAAAUGUCUUCUUAUUGGUCAUUUGGACCUCCUUAGUGGUCCUUAGUGGUCAUUUGGACCUCCUUAGUGGUCCUUAGUGGUCCUUAGCGGUCCUUAGUGGUCCUUAGCGGUCCUUAGUGGUCCUUAGUGGUAUUUAGUAGGACCGGAAUAUUCCUGCCAAAAGACAGCAGAAGGGGGACUAACUGAUGUAUGGAUUUUGACACCAGAUUUUACCCUGCACGAGCAGCCCAACUUGAGUAGAUCAGGAGUGGGAAAACCGAGCCCUGUCCUUGACCAAGGAAAGUUGGAUUUGUUGAGAGGACCUGAUCUCAAAUGAGAUCAUGCACAAGACGCACCUCGCAAAGGCCAUGACAGUAUAGUUUUCAGACCUGAUCAGCUGGUGACUGCUCUAUGAAGUGCUGUUCAACCUCCCCUAAGGGGGAGAUUCGAGAGGGUCUCCUGAUUGCUGAUAACUACGCCAUGUUGUCAUCUCCAAAAAGUUUGCCCUGCCCAUAUCAACAGUGGAAGAGAACAUGAGAUGGGCCUUGAGGAGGCUUCGUGUCAUGUACUGCGGGGAGAAUAUAUAAACUGUUUAGUGCUGAGCAAUAUGUUCCUUUGUUCAUAGGUGUAAAUAUGUGUAAAGGGCUAUUCCAGGAAAAGAUAGGAUGAAGGAUUCCUUAAUGUUGUCAUUUUAUAAAUCCGGUACCACCAACACAGUUAAAAACAAUUAUUAUUAAUUUUAUCCUCUGUAUCACCCCUCACUAACUGAAACUGUAUAUAAUCAUGGUUCAUACCCUUCCUCCCAUUUUUACCUGUGGUAGCCCAAAGAGGAGAAUGUUAUUUAUUUUAAUUUAUUAUGUUAAAUGUGCUCGCAUAUUGUGAUAAUGUAUCUUGGGUAGAUGUUUUCCUGGUUUUGUUAAAAAUGCACUGUAAAAAUGUUCACAUUAUUUGUUUUUUUAAUAUAAACAUUGUUUUUUGCAAAUUG